RNAcentral lists this long non-coding RNA (7345 nucleotides) under Homo sapiens (human). RNAcentral's name for it is "HSALNT0043638". The record is from RNAcentral. Lineage: Eukaryota; Metazoa; Chordata; Mammalia; Primates; Hominidae.
CCCUCGCGCGUCGGCCAGGAACCUCGGCCCCAUGCGGGCGGGCCAGCGCGGCCAGGAGGGCCGGGAAGAGGGGUCCCCGGGGCCCCGGAUGCGCUGAACUCCGGGGAGGGGAUGGGCAGGAGAGAGAGCACACUCCUGGAGCCGCGACGUCCAAACCCGGACGCACUUGAACCCGCAGCGAGGCCCGUGGCUCGCGGCCUUCGGAGAGCACCCGCGCCCCGCGCAGACCGGACGCCGGCCUUGCCCGAUCCUCGGCAUCCUUCGGCGGGGCAUACGUGAUCAUUUAACACACGGGUGUUAAGUUCAUUCUUGCUGCAAAAGAAGGCCAUUGUACCUCCUGACCCUGAAAGCAAGGGACACUGGAUUUUGUGGAUGCUCCUUGGACACACUGGAAUGCACCUUGGGCAGCCCGUGGAUCAUUUUCCCCAGUAUGAAGCAUGGGAGGAGCUGGAAAAUGAACUCAUGAGCCAGUUGAGCCAGCACAACAAGCUGGAGCCAGGAUAUGCAGCUGGGAGCGAGUGUCCAGCCAACAGCCCGUGUCUCAGGCCCUGCCAGGGGAUGAAUCAAUUAGCAAGAGAAGCAAUGAUGCAAAUGCUCCGGGGUCACUUGGGAUGCUGUUUGCCUUUUUGAUAGAGAAAGCACACCAUAAAUAACAUCACACCUCAGGAAAUCAUUCCAGGAGGCCCCGAUGCUGGCAGGGCUGCUGCCAGGGACGGAAGGAAUCGUUUGCUCAUUGUGUGUAUUUCCCCCAGCUCAGUCAAUGGGAGAUUUGUAGUAAAAUCAAAGUAUUUAAAAGGAGGACAGUAUGUGGUAACAGAGGCAUGUUUAGCAAUUUUUUUAGUACCAGAACCUGUGAUUUAUGACCCAGAGUUACAGCCAACUUUAUUACAAAAAUGACUUCACCCAUAAUAACCUUAUUCAGGGCCCUCUGAUGAAUGAUGUAGUAUCCAACAGCAUUAUAAUCUAGUAAAUAUUCAAACACAAUUCCCGCCUCCGCCUCAUUUCCAACCAACCCCUCAGAAGCAGGCUUCCCCCUUUACCUGCUGGGAGAAGUGGGGUCCUGGGUAAGGCUUUGUGCUCUGUCUGUGGGAGUUUGCCUGGAUCAGGCAUUUAUACUAAGCCAGGACAGAAAGUGACCUCCUGGGGUCUCAGUCAUAUCUUGUCCAACCUUGUCCCCUGAGGAGUAAUGAGCAGAAGACACCCACUCACCCUUCAUUUCCUCUCUGUGCUGAAACUUAUUUCCUCCCUGCAUUCCCCCACUCCUCCAGAGCUCAGAUCCCCACCACCUGAAAGGAGCUCCAGUAAGCUCCCUGACAUUUUUAAUUGCCAUGGUAACUGAGGGCUGCACUAAAACCGCCAGGGCUGGGUGUCCAAGCAGGGUCCCCUGGGCGUACCGGGAUCUAGAAACUAGCCCUCCAUCUUAUUAAACUCCGGUGUCAGUUCCUAGCAAUUGUUUUAAAUUUACACCCUCAGAGUGGCUUAGUGGGAUUACAUGUCCAUUUGCAUUAAAACAGUUUUCUGUCAUUAAACUGCCAUACAAUAAGCUUCCUUGGGACAAAUUAAUGAGCUCUAAAUAUCAUCAAGUAGAAGUUCACUUCAAGACAGGCAACAAGGAGGGGGGUCGGAAGGAAGUGGCUGCUCAGAAUCUCAUGGCCCAGGAGAACGAUAAGUGCCAACUAAAGAAGGGUCUUGUCCUGUUUCUUCACUGCACGAUAAGUGGUCCUGAUUUAGAGCUGAAUGGGGAGAUUUGGCAAUAUUCUCCCUGUUCGCCAAAAUCCUAUAGCUCAUCUUCUAUUCCUUCUUCCAAAUAUGACUUUACCCUUGACUUUGCUGAAAUUUGCUGAUGAAACACUGACCUCUUGUCUCAGUGACAAUGUCUCAGCCUCAUUUUCUUUGUCCUGUAGUUUCUCUGUCCUUGAGGAACUUGCGUGCAUCCACGUGGCCUGGGAACAACACGCACACAACGCAGCACUAUGUGUAGCUUGAACAAGUGCUCCCUAACUUUGUUAGUUCCCACACACUUUGCUAAAAUGCAUGUAUGAUUGCUACUGAACUGUCUGGGUCCUCAGACCUUAUCGGGACCCUGGAACACGAGUCCUGAUCAGGAGCACCUUUCAUGGUCAUCAGGAGCAGAAUAGGAACAGGGAACAGUUUAGCUUCUAAGACUGAAUUUGUCCUGCUCACAAGAAUCACCAGAGCUUGUCCUCACAAAUACAUAUGUGUGUCUAAGUAGAAAUUUUUCAUUAACACCAAAUAAACCCCCAAACCUUCCCUUAUGUAAAGGAAAUAAGACUGGCUGCUAGACAGACUUCUUGAUCCACAGAGGCUGUGAUCUCAUUUCUGUGUAGCCUUAACAGGGGACAGUAAUGUAUGAUUGAGACACUGCUAUAUUUAGGAAUGACAAGAUGAACAUUAUUAAUAGCUUAAUUGACAUUAAGGCAAUUACCCCUACCCUUAUUACAGUUUGUAGAAUUACACAGAAAAUAUUGGCUGGGGCCUUUUUUUCCCUAGAGCUACCCAAGGAUACAGCAUUUUAUUUCAUGCCAGAUCCCAGCUUUGACAUUAGAUACUUAGCCAUAGAAUGAUUCCAGUAAAUCAUUAUAAAUGCAUUAUAAUAAAGAUGUUAUGAGCUAUCAGAUAUUAACCCCCAACCCCUAAAGAGAGAUAAAUAGUCCAGUUGCAUGAUUCCCACUUUUGUUUCAUAAGAAAUAAGCUUUUGCAAAGAGCAACUGACUAAUGAAUUAUAAAAUGGUGUGUUGAGCUCAGAUAAUUAAACAAUGCAUUUUAGUGUCUAGUGCAGGAUGAACACUAAAUCAUACACAAAUAAAAAAGGUAAAAAUCUGAGCCCCAUGCCUAACUCCUAUUUUUGAAUAACAUUAAUGUUGGUCUACAGUCCAAAAAUGCUUCAACUAUUUUCUUAUCUGAUUAGAGAGGCAUAUCAAGUAUAAGAUCAAGGCACAGUAGGCAAACUAAACCAACAGUCAGAACAAAAACUGUGAAGGUGCUAAUUUCAGAUAAGCCCACAAGGUUAUUUUAAUGGAGAUUUUACAUGGAGAUUGCUUUUUCCCCCAAAGUGUUAAUGGGACAAAAGUCUAGAAGGACCUGGAAGUUUUCAGGUUUCCUUAUACUUUAUAUUUUCUCUGAACUCAUAAUAAAGCAUAUUAGUGGGAAUGGGAUCUAUGCUAUUGGUGGUGGUCUUAGCCUUAUAGUGUUGGAAAGAUGAAUACACAUCCUAAAAUCUUCUCUAGGUUGUGGAGGUGCAGGGAUGAGGAGGGGUUGGUUUGGGUUUCAACCAUUAUCCUCCCCAGGUGGUGGUAUCCUGCCCAGCAGGGCUUCAUCUAGUGGUCAACCAUGGAACACCAUGACAUUUUCACCAGUGGCCCUCAGACAGGGCUGGUUUGCCAUUGGCUGCCAUUUCCUGGCAUGUCGUAGAUUUGCUGCGUGAUUUGAAGCUGUGCUUCAGCACAUCCUGAAUGUGUUUUUUAGUCUUUCAGUAUCUCAAAGACAUGGUGUCCGCCUCAAGGUAGUCUCCUAUUUCUUCGUCAAAUAGCACAUCAUUAAGGACUGUGUGGCCAAAAUUACAGAUGGUCUUGGACUCUGUAUGGGCAAUGACCACCUGUGCUGGUAAUCGAGGCUUCCCUGGAACACCUGGGAACAUACCACACAGCCAGUCCUCUCCUGUGCUCCAGUCAAGCUUAACCUCACAGCCCGAUACUCCCUCCACUUCCCUAGCUCCAUGUGUUAGCCACUGCAGGUUAAUUGAUCUAAGGCUUAUUUUCUUCAAAUAUAAAAUGAAGAUAAUAAUGCCUACCCAGAGGGUCAUGUGAACAUUAAAUGAGAUCAAUUAUGUAAAGAUCUAUCUAUGCAGUGCCUUUCACAGAGUAUGCCCACAAAUAAAUGUUACCUGUUUCAUUUUAGUUAUCUAUGUUUAGCUAUCUUUGUGUUUUUUCUAUCCUGCUUCUUCUCGCUCCACUAUACUCUUACAUCCUAAUUCUCUCUCUCUCUCAUACACACAUACUUUGCUGUGUCUAGCACAGUGCUUUGCUUGUGGCUCACACUCUACAUGCUUGUUACCCUGAACUAUUAACAAAAGCAGCUGCUAGUAACAGUUAAUGUUUUCUGACCACCUACAUGAGCCAGGCACUAUGCUAAGUAUCAUCACUUCCUUUAAUUCUCACAAGCUUAUGAGACAAAUACUAUUUUAAUUCUCAUCUAUCGGAAAUUAAAGAUUAAAGAUGUUCUAUAACUUGCCCAAGGUCACACAAGCUCUUAAGUGGAUAGUCAAGAUCCAAACUCAGAACCGGCCUGGAUUUGAAAUCUCAGUUCUUAACUAUCACUGUGUCAGACUGAUUUUGUUAGCUUUUUCCUCCUUUAGACUGGGCCCUAUCAAGGGAUCAGAGAUAAGCAUGUACCCACUCUCAGAUGAGUGAUCCCACGACCUCAAGUUUUGAAGUUCCAGGAAGUCCAGAAGUGUAUGCUAACUCUAGUUUAUAGCUGUUCAAAAGUCACUUGUCUAAAAACUUCAGGGACAUUAUGUAAAACCAUCCAAAAAACAUUAUUGCACACCCCAUAAAGUUAAUUUCACUUUGCAAGAAUGUGUUUGAGGGAGGUGAUGCACUUGGCUAUGUAUUCAGGUUGGUGGCCACAAUAUAUGGAGCUGUGCUGUCAUCCUUGACACUCUGGCUUACUGGCAGCCUCGCUCCAACACACUGUCACAGGCGAGGGAUGGCCUCCCAGUCUUGACUCAGAACACUUAAGCUUCCUAAUGGUCCAAGUCUCACAAACCACACACCUCCCUUAAUUAAAAAAGUAAAUUAAAAGGAGUAUUUCAACUUAGGGAUGAAUUAUCUUAGUAAUUUAAGAUUGACAUUUUAUUGGAUAAAAGGACAUGUAUGAGUUUAUUUUAAAAUACUGCCUUCAUGAACAAGAGACCACAGAAAAGAUUAUCCUGAGGUUGCAAGGCGUUUGUAGAGCCAGAGGACACCCUUGCAAAACAGCCACUGUGAGAGGCCAGUUGCUGCAAAUCACAGGUCAGCCACUUCUACACUUGUCCUUCAAGCACAUCAGCCGGACAUUUGGAGUUUUCUAUAGUCUUCAUUUCAAACUCGAUCAUCCUGAGUGUUGUGGUGGACACUACUAGUGUCACAAAGAGUCCAGCACCCUCUCCUUCCAGGUAUAUAAACGGUGCAUUGCUGGGCUCCUUUGCAGUUGGAUAGGUCAGGUAAUUUGUCUGUUGUGAAGAGUUACUAUGUUUCACUUCUAAGCCGAAGCAUUUGAUUGUCAAUGGAAUACCCUCCAGCUCUCUCCUUCCCUGCAGAAGUAAUCUUGGAAGCAUGUGUUGAGAUGACAGAGUUCCCAAUAGCCUAGAUUCCUGAAUGACUUAGUGGAGCUGAGUCCUCCACAGGUCCAUGUUGGACAUGCACAAUCAGUGAGAAUAAACUUUUGUUGGAUUAAGUCACCGAUGUUUGGAGACUGUUCAUUACCACAACAAAAUGUAGCCAAAUCCCGACUAAUCCAGGAAUUAACCUUUUGUUCAGAAAAUACAGCCCUUCUAAGUCAUAAACCCAUAUUCUCUUUCCAAUAGCUUAUUAAAUGGUUUAUGUAUUUUCCAUCUUUUUGAUAUACUCUCAGAUGCCUAAAAUUACCACAGUGACCUUGGAUUGGACAAGGUAGUUGUUUGUCUUUUAGCCAUUAAUAAAUAUUGCUACUGUGGAAUGAGUGAGGGAAACAGAAGAAGACAAGGUUGGCCUUUUGAAAAUAAUAUGGCAUCAUGUAACGAUGAAAAAGAGAAAAAAUACAGAAAAAAGAGAAAACAAGAGAAAAAUGAAAAACAAGUCUAUAAGAGAGAAAAGUAGAGAAAAACAAAACAAUAGAAAUGCUGGGCAAUUUGUUUCAGAUUCACUAUAACCAACUGCUUGUUGUUGGGUUCUGCUCUAGAAGGCAUCUCUCAGGAUGCCUUUGACCCUCAGCACCUUUUUGUGUAUGUGCCUAGCAUACUGAGGUGCUCAAUAAAUGUUGAUUGAAAGGGUAAAUAAAGGAAUAAAUUUCCAUUUUAUAAUCUUGGAAGCAUAUAUUACUUUAAACGGCCUAUGACUAUGAAUGGACAUUCCAUUGCACAUUGAAAGGCAGUACAACAAGUGAGAAGGGAAGUAGAAAUAUAUGAGUUUGAAUAGCUCUUCAUAACCUUUAAACCUGAGUCCUUGCAAAGAGCAACUAUGAGGUCAGAGCAAUAAUUCUUUGUCCUAAAAACAGGACACCACUGAUAACUCAGAGCCGUCUGUUGAAGAAAGUGUUUCAAAUAAACUGGUUAGCAAUGCCCUUGUUUUGUUUGCCUCUGGAUGGGAAGAACUAGGAGUGCAAUCAGCACCGAGGUGUCUAUAGUCUUGAUGUGGUGGGAGAUGAAAGUAGGGGAACUGAAUAAUGUAUUUUUUCAAAACCUUGAAUGGAGCGAGAAAUACUGAUAAAAAGGAAGAGUUGUGAGUCAUUCUUCUGCUGAUGCCAACUGGGAAGCUCCAGUAGUAUAUUCCCCUGGUGAUGAAGUAAUUCACUUUUUCUGAGAUUAACAUUCUGUAGUAAGGCUGUUCCUCAUACAAGGUUGCUCACAGGUAAAGUUAAUAAAAGGCAGAGUCUAAGAAUUCAUAAGGAAGUUUGCCUUUCCAUGGGGAGAAAGCAUGCAAUCAGGGUCUCUAGUCUGUGUGCACACGUGUGUGUGCGCGUGUGUGUGUGCGCGCGCGCACUCAUAUGCACAGCUCAGAUGUCCAGGACUUGAGAUGAGAAUGGAAAGCACCGAAUAAGAAGAAAGCUGCCACACAGUAGGCUGAAGGAGAAUGACUACAACCUUUAGGCUGAAAAAAAAAAAACACUACAUGCUGGCGUGUAUCCUUGUGGAUAUGUGGAAACACAACAAAAAUAUUGGUCCAUCCUGGCUGCAGUUUUAAAGGAAAGGAAGAUCUCCUGGCAUCAACAUCUCUUGGAGAUGAACACACUAUACAUGCAAGUUCAAAUCUAUCAUCUUCCACCAGUCAACCCAAGCUACAUUCCCCUUCCAUUUAUUAUCAAAGGAAUAAGCACUUUUGUUUCCCAGGCUUAACUCCUCAAAAUCAUGAGCUUUUCUUCCCUACCUUUCCCUUCAUUCGAACUCUUUCCUUUCAAAAUGUUUAUAGAAUUCAUUCUUAUCCUCUCCCUGCCUGGGGGGUUUAUCUAGCUAGUCUAAAUUCUAGAUCAUUGCCUUUCUAUAGGAAAUAUAAAACACACAAAUAAUGAAAUACCCAUAAUCCAAGGCAGAAAUCAUGAGUGUUAUAGUAACAAUGGCCUCAAGAGCUAGACUGCCCAGGCAGCUCAUAUU